UGUGUGUGUGUGUGUGUGUGUGUGUAAAAUGAAGUAUGUUCUAUGUAUGUAUAAUAAAGUAUUCAAGAGGCUCAACCUCACUUACACAAAGUCAAAAAGUCUUGUUAUUCCAGAAGACGCAGGUUCCAUAUCUGGCACCAAAGUGUCAUCCACCCAGCUAGCACUGCGCCUGGUAGACCCGUACUGCCAGGACCCUGAUCCCUAGAUAAAUGCGUUUUGUAGACCAAAAAAAAAAAAACCUGAGUGAGCUUUUGUUAUUAUCAUACUUCAUCAAUUAUGUAAAUGACGUCCCGCUGUGAGAGAAGUGAAACCGCGCUGCGUUCAGGGUCCACUCCAAAAUGCAUGUAAAUGAUCUUGCUGCAGGGCGGUGGAUGACCUCCGCCUCGUCCUCCUGCCUGCCCACCCGUCCGUGAUGGGGGGGGGUUGUGGUCCCGCCCCCCCGCGUCCUCCCCAGCACAGCGCUCCGUUAACGGCUGACAGAGCGGCGCAGAGGGGAGACAAUUAAACGAGGAGGAAGUCUUCUCGUUGUAUCAGCACAGUUUGCCCGGGACAACAUACCGCCAAAUGAAACACCCUCCGUGACGAGCAGUGGUGGAUUUUGAAAUGCUACGGGAAAAUCAGCAGGCCCUGCUGAAUCAUAUUCGCUGAGGUUCCUGUGUCUGGCGAUGACAGGUUCCUGUGGGCGUAAAGAGGAUAGGGCGGAACCAACAUGGCCAAGCAGUAACCUCAGAUCACUGAAAUGGAAUUCCAAAUGGCAACCUAUUUCCUGGCCCCUGACAACACUUUCCACGUGAUCUGGUAAAGGGAUAUUUACUCUCUGGUAAACUGGCCCUUCGCUGCACACAUGACACCAGAAUCACUGGGACCAGCUUGGCUACAGGACUCUCCUUUGGCUCUCGUUAUUUUCAGUUCUUUGGAGCCGACCAGCGCAAUGGACUCCAUAAGACUGCAAAAAACCUGACACUCGUCACUCCAUUCUCCUUUAAAAAACAGUUUGAGCUGCAAUCUGAUCACUGUACCUGGUAAGCGCCUGACACCAAGUGUGAAUACACCACAUGUCUCAUCUCAUAUAAUGAACACCAACUUAUGCACCUUAUCUUUGAGUACGCAAGUAUCACCACACGUGACGUAAUGGGUUAAAUGUAAUCAUCUGAAUUAGCUCCCCACAUUGUUCUGUAACUUUGUUGGCAUGCACUCUUCUCUCUCUCCUCCCCAUUGUAAUACACUAUUCCAGACUUUAUGUGGACCCC
Molecule: long non-coding RNA, 1250 nt
Organism: Esox lucius (northern pike)
Lineage: Eukaryota; Metazoa; Chordata; Actinopteri; Esociformes; Esocidae
Source: Ensembl